GAUGAACGCUGGCGGCGUGCCUAAUACAUGCAAGUCGAACGAAACUUCUUUAUCACCGAGUGCUUGCACUCACCGAUAAAGAGUUGAGUGGCGAACGGGUGAGUAACACGUGGGCAACCUGCCCAAAAGAGGGGGAUAACACUUGGAAACAGGUGCUAAUACCGCAUAACCAUAGUUACCGCAUGGUAACUAUGUAAAAGGUGGCUAUACUACCGCUUUUGGAUGGGCCCGCGGCGCAUUAGCUAGUUGGUAGGGUAAAGGCUUACCAAGGCAAUAAUGCGUAGCCGAAUUGAGAGGUUGAUCGGCCACAUUGGGACUGAGACACGGCCCAAACUCCUACGGGAGGCAGCAGUAGGGAAUCUUCCACAAUGGGCGAAAGCCUGAUGGAGCAACGCCGCGUGGGUGAAGAAGGUCUUCGGAUCGUAAAACCCUGUUGUUAGAGAAGAAAGUGCGUGAGAGUAACUGUUCACGUUUCGACGGUAUCUAACCAGAAAGCCACGGCUAACUACGUG
Molecule: ribosomal RNA, 512 nt
Filed under: uncultured bacterium
Lineage: Bacteria
Description: partial 16S ribosomal RNA
Rfam family: Bacterial small subunit ribosomal RNA
Source: RNAcentral